GGACCCGCACAAGCAGCGGAGCAUGUGGUUUAAUUCGAAGCAACGCGAAGAACCUUACCAGGGCUUGACAUCUCCCCGACCGGCGUGUAACGGCGCCUUCCCUUUUGGGCGGGGAUGACAGGUGGUGCAUGGUUGUCGUCAGCUCGUGUCGUGAGAUGUUGGGUUAAGUCCCGCAACGAGCGCAACCCUUGCCUUUAGUUGCCAUCGCGUAAUGGCGGGCACUCUAAAGGGACUGCCGGGGAUAACUCGGAGGAAGGUGGGGAUGACGUCAAAUCAUCAUGCCCCUUAUGUUCUGGGCUACACACGUGCUACAAUGGCCGGUACAAAAGGAAGCUAUACCGCGAGGUGGAGCAAAUCACCAAAACCGGUCCCACGUUCGGAUUGCAGGCUGAAACCCGCCUGCAUGAAGCCGGAGUUGCUAGUAAUCGUGAAUCAGAAUGUCA
This 443-nucleotide ribosomal RNA is filed under the name uncultured Bacillota bacterium. RNAcentral describes it as "bacterial SSU rRNA". It matches the Rfam family "Bacterial small subunit ribosomal RNA", at positions 917 to 1359 of the family's 1533-position model. Lineage: Bacteria; Bacillati; Bacillota. The record is from RNAcentral.